GAUGAACGCUCGCGAUAGGCUUAACACAUGCAAGUCGAGGGGCAGCAUGGUCUUAGCUUGCUAAGGCUGAUGGCGACCGGCGCACGGGUGCGUAACGCGUAUGCAACUUGCCUCACAGAGGGGGAUAACCCGUCGAAAGACGGACUAAUACCGCGUACACUCUAUGUUGGGCAUCCAAUGUAGUGGAAAUGAAAUUCGCUGUGAGAUAGGCAUGCGUCCCAUUAGCUAGUUGGUGAGGUAACGGCUCACCAAGGCGACGAUGGGUAGGGGAACUGAGAGGUUGAACCCCCACACUGGUACUGAGACACGGACCAGACUCCUACGGGAGGCAGCAGUGAGGAAUAUUGGUCAAUGGGCGAGAGCCUGAACCAGCCAAGUCGCGUGAAGGAUGACUGUCUUAUGGAUUGUAAACUUCUUUUAUACGGGAAUAACAAGAGUCACGUGUGGCUCCCUGCAUGUACCGUAUGAAUAAGCAUCGGCUAACUCCGUG
Molecule: ribosomal RNA, 490 nt
Filed under: uncultured bacterium
Lineage: Bacteria
Description: partial 16S ribosomal RNA
Rfam family: Bacterial small subunit ribosomal RNA
Source: RNAcentral